GAGUUUGAUCUUGGCUCAGAGUGAACGCUGGCGGUAGGCCUAACACAUGCAGGUCGAACGGCAGCACAGAGGAGCUUGCUCCUUGGGUGGCGAGUGGCGGACGGGUGAGGAAUACAUCGGAAUCUACUCUGUCGUGGGGGAUAACGUAGGGAAACUUACGCUAAUACCGCAUACGACCUACGGGUGAAAGCAGGGGAUCUUCGGACCUUGCGCGAUUGAAUGAGCCGAUGUCGGAUUAGCUAGUUGGCGGGUAAAGGCCCACCAAGGCGACGAUCCGUAGCUGGUCUGAGAGGAUGAUCAGCCACACUGGAACUGAGACACGGUCCAGACUCCUACGGGAGGCAGCAGUGGGGAAUAUUGGACAAUGGGCGCAAGCCUGAUCCAGCCAUACCGCGUGGGUGAAGAAGGCCUCGGUUGUAAGUACCGUUUA
Molecule: ribosomal RNA, 430 nt
Filed under: uncultured microorganism
Description: bacterial SSU rRNA
Rfam family: Bacterial small subunit ribosomal RNA
Source: RNAcentral